GCCGAGAACAAGGUACGACCACUGCAACAGAAUGGGACUCAACAGGCCCUGAAUCUUGGCGGCUUCCUUUACGUUGGCAAACGAGCCGCACACCAUGACGUACGGCACCGCGGGUGGCUUGACGUUGGGAUCGUAGGUGGCACUGCAGCUUUCCAGCGCGAAGGGAGUGGAGAUCUGGGCACCAGCCUGCUGGGCUGCGUCCGUCAGGUUCUUCGCCAUCCAUUCAGCGGCGCCAUCGCAGCUGACCUGCUUUCCAAACGUGUAGGUCAGGGCCCCGGAUUGGUCGCGGGGUGAAAUCAGGUUGAUAGCCGCGCAAACUUGGCUGUAAGAUAUCAUUGCCGCAUCGGAGGUUUUGGAGCCCAACGAAGGUGACGGGGGCUGUGACAGAGGUGAUGGUGAUGGCGAUGGCGGCGGCGGCGACGAGACUUGUGGGGAUGGCGGGGAUGGCUUACUGAUGGGAGGGGAGGGCAUGCGGCGUGGCGAUGGCGGCCGGAGGCGCGGGGAGGACACCGGGCGCUUGGCAGGCGGCUGCGAGGCGGUCCGGCUGGCGGUCGUGGCGGCAGGCACUGAAGCCAACAGCCUGGCCCGGCGUCGGAAUCCCAGGACCGAACACACCGCCGCAUCUUUCUCUGCAUCCUUGGCGCCGCCCGCUGCUGCUGCCGGUGUCACCGCAAACCUACAUUAGGGGACAUUCAUAUAUGCACAUGCAUGAGGUCGACGACAAAUGGCAGGGGGCCACUUUGCUUGCGAAUAGCUGCUCGUGUGGCUGCUGGGCUGAACAGCUAGCAUUCGCCACUUGACGUUGGCCAGUGGGACUGGAAGCCACGCUACCGCAGGCACGCAACUUAGUUCCACACUGGCUGAGGCACGAGAUAGAGCUGAUAACAAACGGCUAUCCCGGCCGAACAGAUAUGCAAGCAGAGGGGCACGCAGCAGAAGUAACGUCCACGCCCAGCAUCGCAACAACGGCAACUAGCCUUCCAUGGCCUGGCUUGUACAGACACCCCGGCAUUCAUACGGAGUUUGUAAUAAGCAAACAACGCGACUAAUAAUGACAAACACAUGGUGGCCUCGUGGCACCGGGCCAUGGGCCCGGGCCCAGCUAACCUGGGCCCCACACGGGCUGCUGGUUGUUGAACGAUUAGUUGCCAUCCGGACCAAUAUCGCCCACGACGAUGCAAGUGCUCUCCGCAUACAAUUAUCCCACAGAAGCGUAUGCAAUAACGGCGCAAUUUGCAUCGUCGCAAUCAACCCACCUACAGUCCCCGGGGGCUUCGCACAGCAGCUGCUCGCCAACAAGGGAGCCCUGCUCCAUGUCAGCAACGGAGGUGGUGGUUAAGCAAAUGGUGGUGCCGGAGAAGGUGGAGGAAUCCAGAGACAAGCCAAAGAUGCGGAUGGUGGCAGCGUCGAUAUCAUCCAUGCCUGCAUGAAGGGCAGGCAUAAUGGAUACAUGCAUGGCGAGGGCUUAAAGUGUGAGUGCGUAAAGCUGUGUAGAGUAACCACAAUAAUACCAUAUGCAUGCGAGCCACGACCAGUAGCUAGCAGGGCCUAGCACGGCCAACCGUGCCAUGUGCACGUGUCGCUGGGAAUGCUUUCCUGUACACAUCAAAUGGGCCGAAUGCCUGGCGGCUGUCUAGUGAGUAUUGUGGUGAAAUCGACCUUCCAAAAAUUAGAGUCGGACCGCAGCCUCUCUUGUGGCGCAAUACCGUUAGCUAGCGAGUUAGCUACUAACAAGGCUGAAGGCUGUAUGUACAGGCGCACCUGCAGGGAGGGUACCGCCGUCGGUACGCUGCGGAGCCGCGUCCCAGCGCAUCCAGAUGCUGCCGUUGACCUCCACUUGCCGAACCCCCAUCUCCACAUGCUUGUGCCCACGCGAGUGUACGGCGGUGACACCUGCAGCAUUGCCCGGCCGCACCAAGAUACGUCAGUCAGUCCGUCCGUCCGUCAGUCAGUCAGUCCGUCAGUCAGUCAGUCCGUUAGCAAGGCAUUCCUUCCUCUGCAUUAAGGAACAACUUGCGUGUACACGUCCACAACGAACAUUCAAUGCUCCCAAUAUGAACGCUCCGUCGCUGCCGUGCAAGAACUAGGUGUAAGGAAAGCGUUAGGAAAGGGUUAGAUUGCAGCCACAUCAAUCCUAACUACGCCCACCCGCCUCACGUGAGUCGUACGCACCACUUGUUUGUAAGUAGAGGCUGUCCACACCGCCUCGUAGCAGUGUCUCACAACAGGUGUCGCCAGGAUCGCAGCCUCGGACCCCUACCAGGAAGCAGUACCUGCUGUCACGUUGACCGCCACCGAGGAAUCUCUGCGGGACCAUACAGGGUAGGCUGCUUGCUUGCGACACGGUAGGUGUGGGUAAUCAGGUAAUCAGGUAAUCGGGUAAUCGGGUAAUCAGGUAACCAGGUAAUCAGGUAAUCAGGUAAUCGGGUAAUCGGGUAACCAGGUAAUCAGGUAAUCGGGUAAUCAGGUUACCAGGUCAUCAGGUUAUCAGCAUAUGUGCAUAUGAGUUCCGGCUGGACGCAAUGUGAGACGGCAGGCGCUGAAGGAACGCUUGACUGCUGCACACAUACCAACCUUUGGAUGGAAAAUGGCAACUGACGGAAUCGGGUUCCGCGGUCGCACGGUCACGCGUUACCUAACUGGAUUUGACCGAGACCUGGCCGUUCAACAAAAACAAUAUCGUACGAUGCAUACCUUUUCAAAGCUAGCAAAGCCGAGGCUGUAGGGCGAGCAACCGCAAUCGCUCGUGGUAAGCCUGUGCAAGUUGGGUACAGAGCAAGAUGGGCGAAGCAGGGCCACUUGCUGAAGGGCUGAAGGCGGCUCACAGGACACCCGCCCAGGGAGCAAAGGUCGAGACUAUAUAUAAAAUAGCCCCAGCCCAUCUUUUGAAAUGGGCCAUUGUCGGUGAUAAAUGUAACAGACAUAACGAAGCCAAAAGGUUACAGGUCCGUUCCCAACGUCUUAGGGCUAAUCCAGCCUCCAGGCGACAACGUCUCCAACCAGUCCGAGUAUCGAAAAGAUAGGUAGUAGGCAUGACUAAGGCUUUGCCAUCUCAUCAUAACGAGUCCCCCGACAUGGCUCCUUAUAGCGGUUCCGAUAAUUCAGGACCUAUGCGACGCACCCGGUUAGGGACGUCCUCAACUCUUGGCCCCCACGAAGGGAGAUGAUGCGUGCGGAGACGAUGUGCUUAUAUUCCGCUAGCAAAAAAACUGCGUGACAAAAAUUAUGCGUUGCAGUGAAGUUCAACAGAGUAUGAGCAUUCAUUCCGUGGCAAUGUCAAGCAGCGCUGCGGGGGAUUCGGACGGAAGGCCAAAGCCAGAAGCUUUAUUCCUGGAUUGAGCGCGUCUUGUGCGCGCCUAUCGGAUGUAAUCAUCAUUCGCGCAUUAAAUUAAAUUCAUCACGAGCUUUCAGCAUACCUGAUAAAGAAAGAAGCGUCAACCGACGGCAAUUUGAGGUGUGCGCGGCCUUCAGAGAACACAUUCUCCGUGUGGACUAUGUCGUUUCAAUAAGGAACCAGUUUUUCUGGGACGACUUGGCCUCAGGAACUUGGGCGGCCUUUCCGACACUCCGAUAAUUUUUUUGUAGCGGUUGGGCUUUUUUUAUAGUUUCCAGUCUGUAAAGCUAAAUGUUUACUAUGAUUACGCUAAGCAAUAGUGCUUAAAAUUGAUUUAAAUGGUCUUGAAGUAAGCCAUCAGACUAUGUAGGGUGAAAAGCGAGCCGUACGGUGUCCGGCAGCUUAGCAGCCGCAACGCAUUGCUGAAAUCCACGCUUACUUCAAGUGAACUCGUAAUUAAGCGAAAAGUCAAACAUAUCACAGUUACAUUGCACUGGUAAACAGACGUACUGCGGUAGGGAAGCCUAAGUGCGUGGGGCGUAGUCGGGAAAGUGAGUAGCAGGCGGGCGGCUACAACAUAGUGGCCAAUCAGCAAAACAGUUAGCCAUCAUAAAUUAGAGUUGUUCAAUUUACAUCUCCUGAUAUCCAAAAGCUGUACAUCAGUGUGCCGUGCCAUUCUAGAAAGCAAGCGAGCCACUGCUCGUAGUGGCAGAUGUUAACAGCGCAUACACAUCCGGUUAUAAAAAUGGUAACCGUGUGCUUACAGUCAGCAUGAUGUGCAGUGGCUUUAUGCUUUUUUUACGUUAUGACCUUAUCGCUGGUUGCCUUCAAGCUUUUGGCUUCAUCAACCCUGAUUCCAUGCUAUCUGUUAGGGCUACUUACUGAGCGAUCGCUAAACUUUCGCUUUCGUUCGGCCACCAUGUGGCGAUGCCCAGGUGCACAGCGCUUCAUACACUCUGCCUUGGAAGGCCCAAGACUGUUCCGAGAACAAAAUGGUAAUGGUAUCGUGCGUCAAUGUAUGAAUGAUCUUUGUCACAGUGGAUCCGGAAAUAUAAAGCACAGCAAUCAGAUCAUUUUAAAAAUACAAAGGCCCAACAAAUAUCCUUAGCACGCAAAACAACCCAGGUAACCUGUGCCAACCCAGCGGCCUGUGGUCAGGGCGAUGCGAACUAAUUAUCGAUCCUGCGAGCACUACACAUCUGUUUUUCCACUUUGGACCAGUAAAUGGCUCAAAGUAGAACUUAUCGGUCCAAACCGGCAAUCGCAACCACACACUCUUCGACCAACCGCUAAGCAGCUGGUCUAGGUUUCAAUCGCCUGGGUCACUUAUAUUUCUAAACACUCUUGGAGCCUACAGUAGCCCAAGCGAUGUGAAAGCAUAACUCCUAGAGACGUAUGUAUGCCCCGCUGGUUGGAGUUUGGCGCAAGGAUAAAUAGCUUUUGCGCGAUGCAAGUGAGCCAUGUUGCGGUUACAAAGUAAUAAAGCAAAACGGUUAAGCGGUGCCCGAGAAUGCUCAGGGCUCCACGAGUCAUAUGCUAUCAAGCGCACCUGCACCAAGGCUACACAUCUCGCCAGCACAUGCGCCGGCAAUUUCAACUCAUGUGCUACCGCAGUCCACCACAGGACUAGGCAUCUAGUACGGCGGUGAGCUGCCCCGGUCAGCAAGGGGCUGCCCCAGCCAGUAGGGGGCUGCCCCAGUCCACUACGCCGAAAAUGUCUAGGUCUAUCUGCUAAUAGGCAGAUCGGCACUAUAUACACCGGGCUAGAGCUUAAAUCGUUCUCUAAAGUUGGUGAGGAAGUAAAAAACCACAAACGCACAGCCAUACUUGUGAAUGAUUGAGUGCUACGCAAUGCCUUGCGUGGUUUGUGAUUGCUAAAUGCAAUUAACCAAAACCUCUUCAAAAGACAGCGCAUGCAAGCAAAAUCACAUUUCAUGGAUGCACGCAAAGCUACCUUCUUCGCACACAUACACAUUUGCGUCAGGCGCAAGUCACCGGAAGCACUGGCAUGCGAGUGCGUAAAUAAUCUGCACAGCAAGCAGCGACGUCCCCGGAUCCCUUUCUUGCAACGCAGAGCCGCACACAUAGUCACGAUAACGAAAUCAAUCAAUGGUCUAAAACGGCGUAAUAGCGCCGUGUGAUCUAUGGGAUUUCCGCAUCAGCAUGUUGCCAGCCAAGACCGCCUUAAGCUAAAGAGAACAUUACCCCCAUAUACAUUAACCUGGCCAUCCUGCAACUCUUCCCAGAUAGGAGGAAGCCGAGCUACCCCGGAAAAACCUUGCCAUGGCCGCGGGCUUUCCUUCUGCAUCAUGAUGCCAGGAAUCUCUAUUUGUGUAUUCUAGUAGCACUACUGCUCGUCGUCGCCCCAACGAAUACAUGCACAGGGAUGGACUGGAUGAUUCCAUGACUACGCACGUUCUUGUGCCGCCUCAUAUCCUUUAGAGGGCACCUCGAGACGACGAGCACUGCACUUCCGAGAAAGCAACCGGUGACUCGUCCUCUGUGCCCCACACCAUAGUUUGGAUGGUGUACCCUAGUGGUGGGCACAUGUACGGCAGCGAGCCUGCCCCCUCGGGCACCUUACGGCCGAGAACAAGGUACGACCACUGCACCAGAAUGGGACUCAACAGGUCCUGAAUCUUGGCGGCUUCCUUUACGUUGGCAAACGAGCCGCACGCCAUGACGUACGGCACCGCGGGUGGCUUGACGUUGGGAUCGUAGGUGGCACUGCAGCUUUCCAGCGCGAAGGGAGUGGAGAUCUGGGCACCAGCCUGCUGGGCUGCGUCCGUCAGGUUCUUCGCCAUCCAUUCAGCGGCGCCAUCGCAGCUGACCUGCUUUCCAAACGUGUAGGUCAGGGCCCCGGAUUGGUCACGGGGUGAAAUCAGGUUGAUAGCCGCGCAAACUUGGCUGGGAAGCUCUACCGGCAUGUCUGAGGACUUUGAACUGAAGGAUGAUGGCGAUGGCGGCGGCGGCGACGAGACUUGUGGGGAUGGCGGGGAUGGCUUACUGACGGGAGGGGAGGGCAUGCGGCGUGGUGAUGGCGGCCGGAGGCGCGGGGAGGACACCGGGCGCUUGGCAGGCGGCUGCGAGGCGGUGCGGCUGGCGGCCGUGGCGGCAGGCACUGAAGCCAACAGCCUGGCCCGGCGAUGGGAUCCAAGCACCGGAAUCUCAAACGUGGAAGCUGUGCCACUGUAGCUGUCAGACGACUUGACCUCUGCAGCAAGCCUGCAGGUAUAGGCGAUGAGACGCGUAAUUAGUGAGGACAUAACGCAAAUAGCAGGGCACCAUUCUCAGCACUGGGAAGCCGGACUAAUAUGUCCUGCUGUUUUGCAGACAAGGUCAUCCCCUAAUAUAUUAAUAGUUAAGCCUAUCCGUAACGUGCUUCAGAAGUCGCUUACAUACGUCCUUCCUCAUCGCUGAGGAAGCGGCCACCCUAUUCGCUUAUGUAGUGUUGAUUAAUGGACGUAUUCGUCCUGCAAUUUUAUUUGUAGGCUUGUGACUCACUUGGAAGAUGCACUGGAGUCACCUCCCAGCAGUCCUCCGCGAAACAAAGUCCGCGACGAAGCAACGCAUGGUAAGCCGCCAACAUUUGCAACUGCAAUAGAAAGAGAAUCGCAUGGAUUACAUAUUAAGAAGGUGAGAGGAUUGGGCUAACAGGCCUGGUGUAUCCAAUUCCGCAGUGCGGAGGAAGGAGGGAGCCCACAUUCCAAUACUUCAAGAAAUAUGGAAAUCUUCCAAGACCAAACUACUUGUAUGAGAUUUGAGUCAUCGUACCUGUGAGGUACACUGCGAGCUGUAAAAGGAUUGAAAUUACAUUAGGGGUUCGCCGCGUAGCAGACAUUGUUGCCAGCUUCAAAUGGACGUAACGAUCAAGGAUAAGAGCGUGCUCGCAAUGGCAGUUGAGCUUAGGAAGGAUCCAGCGCUGGAAUGUUGACUUUGGGAGUUAUAUGCCAAACUGAUAUUGAACGUCUGUUAAAU
This 7312-nucleotide long non-coding RNA is filed under the name Volvox carteri. RNAcentral's name for it is "long non-coding RNA (VCAR_LNC003043)". Lineage: Eukaryota; Viridiplantae; Chlorophyta; Chlorophyceae; Chlamydomonadales; Volvocaceae. The record is from RNAcentral.